RNAcentral lists this ribosomal RNA (456 nucleotides) under uncultured bacterium. RNAcentral's name for it is "partial 16S ribosomal RNA". It matches the Rfam family "Bacterial small subunit ribosomal RNA", at positions 338 to 795 of the family's 1533-position model. The record is from RNAcentral.
CCUACGGGUGGCAGCAGUGAGGAAUAUUGGUCAAUGGGCGAGAGCCUGAACCAGCCAAGUCGCGUGAGGGAGUACUGCCCUAUGGGUUGUAAACCUCUUUUGUCGGGGAGCAAAAGCCGGACGUGUCCGGCUGUGAGAGUACCCGAAGAAAAAGCAUCGGCUAACUCCGUGCCAGCAGCCGCGGUAAUACGGAGGAUGCGAGCGUUAUCCGGAUUUAUUGGGUUUAAAGGGUGCGCAGGCGGAUUUAAGUCAGCGGUCAAAUCGUGGGGCUCAACCCCAUCCAGCCGUUGAAACUGGGGAUCUAGAGUGUGCGAGAGGUAUGCGGAAUGCGUGGUGUAGCGGUGAAAUGCAUAGAUAUCUGGAGGAACAUCAGUGGCGAAGGCGACUAUCUGGCACAUAACUGACGCUGAGGAGCGAAAGCGUGGGUAGCAAACAGGAUUAGAUACCCGAGUAGUC